AAUAUUUUACAAUGGGCGAAAGCCUGAUCCAGCCAUGCCGCGCGUGUGAAGAAGGUCUUCGGAUUGUAAAGCACUUUAAGCUGGGAGGAAGGGCAGUAAGUUAAUACCUUGCUGUUUUGACGUUACCGACAGAAUAAGCACCGGCUAACUUCGUGCCAGCAGCCGCGGUAAUACGAAGGUUGCAAGCGUUAGUCGGAAUUACUGGGCGUAAAGCGCGCGUAGUUGGUUUGUUAAGUUGGAAGUGAAAGACCCGGGCUCAACCUGGGAACUGCUUUCAAAACUGGCAGGCUAGAGUAUGACAGAGGGUGGUGGAAUUUCCUGUGUAGCGGUGAAAUGCGUAGAUAUAGGAAGGAACACCAGUGGCGAAGGCGACCACCUGGGCUAAUACUGACACUGAGGUGCGAAAGCGUGGGGAGCAAACAGG
Molecule: ribosomal RNA, 424 nt
Filed under: uncultured bacterium
Lineage: Bacteria
Description: partial 16S ribosomal RNA
Rfam family: Bacterial small subunit ribosomal RNA
Source: RNAcentral